UUGAACGCUGGCGGCAGGCCUAACACAUGCAAGUCGAGCGGAUGAAGGGAGCUUGCUCCUGGAUUCAGCGGCGGACGGGUGAGUAAUGCCUAGGAAUCUGCCUGGUAGUGGGGGAUAACGUCCGGAAACGGGCGCUAAUACCGCAUACGUCCUGAGGGAGAAAGUGGGGGAUCUUCGGACCUCACGCUAUCAGACGAGCCUAGGUCGGAUUAGCUAGUUGGUGGGGUAAAGGCCUACCAAGGCGACGCUCCGUAACUGGUCUGAGAGGAUGAUCAGUCACACUGGAACUGAGACACGGUCCAGACUCCUACGGGAGGCAGCAGUGGGGAAUAUUGGACAAUGAGCGAAAGCCUGAUCCAGCCAUGCCGCGUGUGUGAAGAAGGUCUUCGGAUUGUAAAGCACUUUAAGUUGGGAGGAAGGGCAGUAAGUUAAUACCUUGCUGUUUUGACGGUACCAACAGAAUAAGCACCGGCUAACUUCGUG
This 483-nucleotide ribosomal RNA is filed under the name uncultured bacterium. RNAcentral describes it as "partial 16S ribosomal RNA". It matches the Rfam family "Bacterial small subunit ribosomal RNA", at positions 30 to 507 of the family's 1533-position model. The record is from RNAcentral.